AUGGAGCUGGUGAGUCCCAAAUAGGACGAAACGCGUGUCCUGAAU
RNAcentral lists this non-coding RNA (45 nucleotides) under Schistosoma mattheei. The record is from RNAcentral. Lineage: Eukaryota; Metazoa; Platyhelminthes; Trematoda; Strigeidida; Schistosomatidae.